This 60-nucleotide transfer RNA is filed under the name Podarcis lilfordi (Lilford's wall lizard). RNAcentral describes it as "tRNA.Ala". It matches the Rfam family "tRNA", at positions 9 to 63 of the family's 71-position model. From Rfam's summary of the family: Transfer RNA (tRNA) molecules are approximately 80 nucleotides in length. Their secondary structure includes four short double-helical elements and three loops (D, anti-codon, and T loops). The record is from RNAcentral. Lineage: Eukaryota; Metazoa; Chordata; Lepidosauria; Squamata; Lacertidae.
CAGCUCAGUGGUAGAGCAUCUGUUUUGCAUGCGGCAGGUCCCAGGUUCAAUCCCUGGCAA